Molecule: unclassified non-coding RNA, 248 nt
Filed under: uncultured fungus
Lineage: Eukaryota; Fungi
Description: partial contains 5.8S ribosomal RNA, internal transcribed spacer 2, and large subunit ribosomal RNA
Rfam family: 5.8S ribosomal RNA (bases 1-52)
Source: RNAcentral
AACGCACAUUGCACCCGGUGGUAUUCCGCCGGGUAUGCCUGUCUGAGCGUCAUUUCUACCCUCGAGCACUGCUCGGUAUUGGCGGAUUGCCUAGCAACCGCUGAAAAUCAACGGCGGUGACCCCUAUGUCCCUGUAUAGUACUAUUCUUACAGUGGUUAUAGCGGUCUACCAGUCUCCUGUGCGCCGUAACAAGCGCUACACUUUGAAACUCGACCUCAGAUCAGGUAGGAAUACCCGCUGAACUUAA